AACGAACGCUGGCGGCAUGCCUAACACAUGCAAGUCGAACGAUACCAUCGGGUCUGGUGGCGCACGGGUGCGUAACGCGUGGUAACCUACCCUUAGGUUCGGAAUAACUCCCCGAAAGUGGUGCUAAGACCGGAUAAUAUCUUCUGACCAAAGAUUUAUCGACGUGGGAUGGGCCCGCGUUGGAUUAGCUAGUUCGUAGGGUAAAAGCCUACCAAGGCGGCGAUACAUAGCUGGUCUGAGAGGAUGAUCAGACACACUGGGGCUGAGACACGGCCCGGACUCCUACACGAGGGAGCAGUGGGGAAUAUAGGAAUGUGGGCGGAAGGCUGAUCGAGCUAUGCCGCGUGAGUGAUGAAGGACUUAGGGUUGUAAAGCUCGUUUACACGGGAUGAUAAUGACAGUACCGGAAGAAUAAGCUCCGGCUAACUACGUG
This 433-nucleotide ribosomal RNA is filed under the name uncultured bacterium. RNAcentral's name for it is "partial 16S ribosomal RNA". It matches the Rfam family "Bacterial small subunit ribosomal RNA", at positions 29 to 507 of the family's 1533-position model. The record is from RNAcentral.